CAGUUCGGACUGCAGUCUGCAACUCGACUGCACGAAGCUGGAAUCGCUAGUAAUCGCGGAUCAGCACGCCGCGGUGAAUACGUUCCCGGGCCUUGUACACACCGCCCGUCACACCAUGGAAGUCUGCAAUGCCCGAAGCCGGUGGCCUAACCACUUAUGUGGAAGGGAGCCGUCUAAGGCAGGGCAGAUGACUGGGGUGAAGUCGUAACAAGGUAUC
This 217-nucleotide ribosomal RNA is filed under the name uncultured bacterium. RNAcentral's name for it is "partial 16S ribosomal RNA". It matches the Rfam family "Bacterial small subunit ribosomal RNA", at positions 1289 to 1500 of the family's 1533-position model. The record is from RNAcentral.